AUUGAACGCUGGCGGCAGGCCUAACACAUGCAAGUCGAGCGGAUGAAGGGAGCUUGCUCCUGGAUUCAGCGGCGGACGGGUGAGUAAUGCCUAGGAAUCUGCCUGGUAGUGGGGGAUAACGUCCGGAAACGGGCGCUAAUACCGCAUACGUCCUGAGGGAGAAAGUGGGGGAUCUUCGGACCUCACGCUAUCAGAUGAGCCUAGGUCGGAUUAGCUAGUUGGUGGGGUAAAGGCCUACCAAGGCGACGAUCCGUAACUGGUCUGAGAGGAUGAUCAGUCACACUGGAGCUGAGACACGGUCCAGACUCCUACGGGAGGCAGCAGUGUGGAAUAUUGGACAGUGGUCGGAAGCCUGGUCCAGCCAUGCCGCGUGUGUUAAGAAGGUCUUCGGAUUGUAAAGCCCUUUUAGUUGGGAGGAAGGGCAGUAGGUUGAUACCUUGCUUUUUUGACGUUACCAACAGAAUAAGCACCGGCUAACUUCGUG
RNAcentral lists this ribosomal RNA (484 nucleotides) under uncultured bacterium. Its description in RNAcentral is "partial 16S ribosomal RNA". It matches the Rfam family "Bacterial small subunit ribosomal RNA", at positions 30 to 507 of the family's 1533-position model. The record is from RNAcentral.